AAUACGUUCCCGGGCCUUGUACACACCGCCCGUCACACCACGAAAGUCGGCAACACCCGAAGCCGGUGGCCCAACCCUUUCGGGAGGGAGCCGUCGAAGGUGGGGUUGGCGAUUGGGGUG
RNAcentral lists this ribosomal RNA (120 nucleotides) under uncultured bacterium. RNAcentral describes it as "partial 16S ribosomal RNA". It matches the Rfam family "Bacterial small subunit ribosomal RNA", at positions 1365 to 1482 of the family's 1533-position model. The record is from RNAcentral.